Molecule: ribosomal RNA, 265 nt
Filed under: uncultured anaerobic ammonium-oxidizing bacterium
Lineage: Bacteria
Description: partial 16S ribosomal RNA
Rfam family: Bacterial small subunit ribosomal RNA
Source: RNAcentral
GAGCACGUAGGUGGGUUUGUAAGUCAGAUGUGAAAGCCUUCUGUUCAACGGAAGAAUUGCAUCUGAAACUACAAACCUUGAGUGUAGGAGGGGAGAAUGGAACUUCUGGUGGAGCGGUGAAAUGCGUAGAUAUCAGAAGGAACGCCGGCGGCGAAAGCGAUUCUCUGGCCUAUUACUGACACUCAGUGUGCGAAAGCUAGGGGAGCAAACGGGAUUAGAUACCCCGGUAGUCCUAGCCGUAAACGAUGGGCACUAAGUAGAGGGG